GUGGGGAAUUUUGGACAAUGGGCGCAAGCCUGAUCCAGCAAUGCCGCGUGCAGGAAGAAGGCCUUCGGGUUGUAAACUGCUUUUGUACGGAACGAAACGGUCCUGGUUAAUACCUGGGGCUAAUGACGGUACCGUAAGAAUAAGCACCGGCUAACUACGUGCCAGCAGCCGCGGUAAUACGUAGGGUGCAAGCGUUAAUCGGAAUUACUGGGCGUAAAGCGUGCGCAGGCGGUUUUGUAAGACAGACGUGAAAUCCCCGGGCUCAACCUGGGAAUGGCGUUUGUGACUGCAAAGCUGGAGUGCGGCAGAGGGGGAUGGAAUUCCGCGUGUAGCAGUGAAAUGCGUAGAUAUGCGGAGGAACACCGAUGGCGAAGGCAAUCCCCUGGGCCUGCACUGACGCUCAUGCACGAAAGCGUGGGGAGCAAACAGGAUUAGAAACCCCAGUAGUCC
RNAcentral lists this ribosomal RNA (450 nucleotides) under uncultured bacterium. RNAcentral's name for it is "partial 16S ribosomal RNA". It matches the Rfam family "Bacterial small subunit ribosomal RNA", at positions 354 to 796 of the family's 1533-position model. The record is from RNAcentral.